AGCACAAAACUCAGAUUAUAUGAAGUCGGUAGUAAACCAGGCAGCAGUAAACAGACAACCUGAUGAUUAUUAAAGAGGCUCAGUCACCAGCUCACACAGUCAAUGGCCACGAUUUAUCAGUUUGUCCUCCGGGACAGAAAAGUCUUUGACGGGCAGGGGGCAUUUCUCAUUAGCUCGGUCUCCUGAAUCUCAAAUCGCUGAUGGGGUGAAUGAAUGAACAAAGAAAGGACAGGCGGAGCGGGGUGAACUUGGGGAGCGGAUUCCCACCUUCUGUGCAAGGGGGAGGAGCUUAUGAAGUGGUCAGUGCCUCGCUUUUGAACGGUGACCCCUGGACCCCAAGGAAGAAUUCGGACUCAAAG
This 359-nucleotide long non-coding RNA is filed under the name Sus scrofa (pig). Its description in RNAcentral is "lncRNA (ENSSSCG00035036122.1)". The record is from RNAcentral. Lineage: Eukaryota; Metazoa; Chordata; Mammalia; Artiodactyla; Suidae.